This 423-nucleotide ribosomal RNA is filed under the name uncultured bacterium. RNAcentral describes it as "bacterial SSU rRNA". It matches the Rfam family "Bacterial small subunit ribosomal RNA", at positions 954 to 1377 of the family's 1533-position model. The record is from RNAcentral.
GCAUAACGCGAAGAACCUUACCCACCUUUGACAUGUACGGAAUCCUUUAGAGAUAGAGGAGUGCUCGAAAGAGAGCCGUAACACAGGUGCUGCAUGGCUGUCGUCAGCUCGUGUCGUGAGAUGUUGGGUUAAGUCCCGCAACGAGCGCAACCCUUGCCAUUAGUUGCUACAUUUAGUUGAGCACUCUAAUGGGACUGCCGGUGACAAACCGGAGGAAGGUGGGAUGGACGUCAAGUCCUCAUGGCCCUUAUAGGUGGGCUACACACGUCAUACAAUGGCUGGUACAGAGGGUUGCCAACCCGCGAGGGGAGCCAAUCCCACAAAGCCAGUCGUAGUCCGGAUCGCAGUCUGCAACUCGACUGCGUGAAGUCGGAAUCGCUAGUAAUCGCGGAUCAGAAUGUCGCGGUGAAUACGUUCCGGGUC